Molecule: long non-coding RNA, 1302 nt
Organism: Lagenorhynchus albirostris (white-beaked dolphin)
Lineage: Eukaryota; Metazoa; Chordata; Mammalia; Artiodactyla; Delphinidae
Exons: 3
Source: RefSeq, a predicted model, not a curated record
UAUAAAGCAGAAACUAACACACCAUAGUAAAGCAAUUAUACUCCAAUAAAGAUGUAAAAAGAAUAAAUAAAUUCCAUUGUUAUUUAUAAAAAAAAAGAAAAGAAAUCACCCCCUAUAGUUUUUGCAUUUCAGAAACAAGGUCACUGGCCAAUAAACCAGAGGCAAACGGACACAAUUAUCAGACUGCCGGACCCCAAUUACCGGGGUGGCCUGACGCCAGCUAUGACUGUUUUGAAAUAAUGCAAAGGAAAGGAAGAAUGCAAGACCUUCGCUACUUUGAUCCUUAUCAUAGACCCCGGACUGCGAGCCUCACAUAUAAAACCUUCCCUGAUUCCCAAGGAGGGGGGGCACAGCUCUGGAGGCGCUAGCCUGCUGUCUUCCCUUCUGCCUGGCAGAAAAAUAAAGCCAUCUCUCUCUUCCUCCAAAAUCCCUGUCUCUGUAUUUCGGUUCGGCCUCGGUGCACAGGGAAGCUGAUGCUUCGGCAACAAAAUGGGGGCUCGUCCGGGGUCUGCUCGCGUACAGGCAGCCCCGCAGGGCCCCUUGGCUUGAUCGGAAGCUCGGGGAUCUCUCUGCACGCCAGGCUCCUUCGGGAGAGCGGAGGGUUGGAGGAUUUCUCUGAGGCCAGAUCGUCAGGGACUCCCUGCCGCAGGGCUGUGCCCCAUCACACCCGGCCUGUCGGCUGCGGCGGAGAACGGGGGAGAGGCUGACCUAGCAGCUGCCGAGGCUCAUUUUGCCUUGAGGACACCUUCUCUUCUCUUGGCCGCGCCGGCCUGGACUUCCACUCCGAGAAAACACUGAAUAUUGGAGGGUCAGAAAGAGGACGUAGGGAAGUCGCGACGCACCCGUCAGCACCUACGAUUGGAAACUCUUAGGUCCCCAGCACCUUUAUCAGAUAAAUUAGGAAGGCUACCUCACUAACAGGUACAGAAAUCUCAAGGUAUUUUCGGAACCUUGAAAAGGGAGGAAUUCACCUAUAUCUGAUCAGAUACCCCACGACCUACAACCAGGGGAUUAUACAUACUGGAAAAGACAUAAUUUAAAGGACUAUCUCCAGACUGGAUGGAAGCACCCUUAUCAGGUACUCUUAACUAGCUCAUACACAGUAAAACUAAAGGGAAUUAACUCUUGGAUUAAUUUCCACUCACAAAGGGCCCCUGCACUGGACUGGCCCAUGGAGAGGAUGGCUGACCUCAAAAUCACCUUAAAACAAUGCUCAAACAGAGGAGAAACUACACUCACGCGAGGAUGAGAAAAAGACAACAUCAGAAGUAGACAGCUUCCCCAAGAUCCUGGACCUGACUC